This 254-nucleotide ribosomal RNA is filed under the name uncultured prokaryote. RNAcentral's name for it is "partial 16S ribosomal RNA". It matches the Rfam family "Bacterial small subunit ribosomal RNA", at positions 524 to 776 of the family's 1533-position model. The record is from RNAcentral.
UACGAAGGGGGCUAGCGUUGCUCGGAAUUACUGGGCGUAAAGGGCUCGUAGGCGGCCAACUAAGUCAGACGUGAAAUCCCUCAGCUUAACUGGGGAACUGCGUCUGAUACUGGAUGGCUUGGAUUUGGGAGAGGGAUGCGGAAUUCCAGGUGUAGCGGUGAAAUGCGUAGAUAUCGAGAGGAACACCUGAGGUGAAGACGGGUUGCUGGGCCGACACUGACGCUGAGUGCGCGAAAGCCAGGGGAGCAAACGGG